RNAcentral lists this transfer RNA (74 nucleotides) under Felis catus (domestic cat). It matches the Rfam family "tRNA". From Rfam's summary of the family: Transfer RNA (tRNA) molecules are approximately 80 nucleotides in length. Their secondary structure includes four short double-helical elements and three loops (D, anti-codon, and T loops). Further hydrogen bonds mediate the characteristic L-shaped molecular structure. tRNAs have two regions of fundamental functional importance: the anti-codon, which is responsible for specific mRNA codon recognition, and the 3' end, to which the tRNAs corresponding amino acid is attached (by aminoacyl-tRNA synthetases). tRNAs cope with the degeneracy of the genetic code in two manners: having more than one tRNA (with a specific anti-codon) for a particular amino acid; and 'wobble' base-pairing, i.e. permitting non-standard base-pairing at the 3rd anti-codon position. RNAcentral also lists the same sequence under 3 other names. Lineage: Eukaryota; Metazoa; Chordata; Mammalia; Carnivora; Felidae. The record is from Rfam by way of RNAcentral.
ACCCGGCUGGCUCAGUCGGAAGAGCGUGUGACUCUUGAUCUCGGGGGUCGUGAGUUCAAGCCCCACGGUGGGUA